AAUCAUUCCCUUUGAUUGGUUACCUUUGUUAAGUUAUUACUUGGUUGGUAGUCGGUAAUCAUUCCCUUUGAUUGGUUACCUUUGUUAAGCUAUCACUUGGCUGGUAGUUGGUAAGCAUUCCUUUUGGUUGGUUACCUUUGUUAAGUUAUCACUUGGCUGCUAGUUGGUAAUCAUUUCCUUUGGCUUAUUACCUUUGUUAAGCUAUCACUCAGCUGGUAGUUAGGUAAUAUUAUUCUCCUAUUGGAGUCAGAGUUUUUCCCUGUUG
This 265-nucleotide long non-coding RNA is filed under the name Lathyrus oleraceus (garden pea). Its description in RNAcentral is "Pisum sativum (pea) long non-coding RNA (PSAT_LNC006777)". Lineage: Eukaryota; Viridiplantae; Streptophyta; Magnoliopsida; Fabales; Fabaceae. The record is from RNAcentral.